GGUUCAGAUCAUGGCUCAGAUUGAACGCUGGCGGGAUGCUUUACACAUGCAAGUCGAACGGCAGCCUGGACUUCGGUCUGGUGGCGAGUGGCGAACCAGGUGAUAAUGUAUCGGAACGUGCCUAGUAGCGGGGGAUAACUACGCGAAAGCGUAACCCUAAUACCGCAUACGCCCUUCGGGGGAAAGCGGGGGACCUUCGGGCCUCGCCGCCUGUCCGACAGCGAUAUCCGGAUUAGCUAGUUGGUGGGGUAACGGCUCACCAAGGCGACGAUCCGCUGCGCUGGUUUGAGAGGACAGCCAGCCACCGCUGGGACUGAGGCGGCUUGAACUCCUACGGAGAGCAACGGUGGGGAAUUUUGGAUACGUGAGCACAGUCAGCCAUCCCGCGUGUGCGAUGAAGGCCUUCGGGUUGUAAAGCACGGCAGAAAGAAACGGCGGGAUAAUACCCCGUGCAACUGACGGUACCUGCAGAAUAAGCACCGGCUAACUACGUGCCAGCAGCCGCGGUAAUACCCGUACGGAUGCAAGCGUUAAUCGGAAUUACUGGGCGUAAGCGUGCGGUUCGGAAAGAUGUGAAAUCCCAGAGCUUAACUUUGGAACUGCAUUUUUAACUACCGAGCUAGAGUGGUAAAUGUUCAGAGGUGGAAUUCCGCGUGUAGCAGUGAAGCCGUAGAUAUGGAGAGAACACCAUUCUUGAAGGCAACCUCCUGGGAUAACACUGACAGCUCAUGCACGAAAGCGUGGGGAGCAAACAGGAUUAGAUACCUGGUAGUCCACGCCUAAACGAUAUCGCGCUGUUGGGGCCUUCGGGCCUUGGUGGCGCAGCGCCUAACGCGUGAAGUUGACCGCCUGGGAGUACGGUCGCAAGAUUAAAACUCAAAGGAAUUGACGGGGACCACUGGCGGUGGAUGAUGGAUUAAUUCGAUGCAACGCGAAAACCUUACCUACACUUGACAUGUCUGGAAUCCCGAAGAGAUUUGGGAGUGCCGCAGAGAACCGGAACACAGGUGCUGCAUGGCUGUCGUCGCUCGUGUCGUGAGAUGUUGGUUAAGUCUAACGAGGCGCAACCCUUGUCAUUAGUUGCUACGAAAGGGCAUAAUGAGACUGCCGGUGACAAACCGGAGGAAGGUGGGGAUGACGUCAAGUCCUCAUGGCCCUUAUGGGUAGGGCUUCACCGUCAUACAAUGGUCGGGACAGAGGGUCGCCAACCGCGGUGUCAGAAACCCGAUCGUAGUCCGGAUCGCAGUCUGCAACUCGACGCUGCGUGAAGUCUCGGAAUCGCUAGUAAUCGCGGAUCAGCAUGUCGCGGUGAAUACGUUCCCGGGUCUUGUACACACACCACCGCCCGUCACACCAUGGGAGUGGGUUUUCUGCCAGUAGUUAGCCUAACCGUAAGGAGGGCGGUUACCACGGUAGGAUUCAUGACUGGGGUGAAGUCGUAACAAGGUAA
Molecule: ribosomal RNA, 1450 nt
Filed under: uncultured Bordetella sp.
Lineage: Bacteria; Pseudomonadati; Pseudomonadota; Betaproteobacteria; Burkholderiales; Alcaligenaceae
Description: partial 16S-23S ribosomal RNA intergenic spacer
Rfam family: Bacterial small subunit ribosomal RNA
Source: RNAcentral